RNAcentral lists this ribosomal RNA (465 nucleotides) under uncultured bacterium. RNAcentral's name for it is "partial 16S ribosomal RNA". It matches the Rfam family "Bacterial small subunit ribosomal RNA", at positions 28 to 507 of the family's 1533-position model. The record is from RNAcentral.
GACGAACGCUGGCGGCGUGCUUAACACAUGCAAGUCGUACGGUAAGGCCCUUUCGGGGGUACACGAGUGGCGAACGGGUGAGUAACACGUGAGUAACCUGCCCACAACUUUGGGAUAACGCUAGGAAACUGGUGCUAAUACUGGAUAUGUGCUCCUGCUGCAUGGUGGGGGUUGGAAAGCUCCGGCGGUUGUGGAUGGACUCGCGGCCUAUCAGCUUGUUGGUGGGGUAGUGGCCUACCAAGGCGGCGACGGGUAGCCGGCCUGAGAGGGUGACCGGCCACAUUGGGACUGAGAUACGGCCCAGACUCCUACGGGAGGCAGCAGUGGGGAAUAUUGCACAAUGGGCGCAAGCCUGAUGCAGCAACGCCGCGUGCGGGAUGACGGCCUUCGCGUUGUAAACCGCUUUCAGCAGGGACGAAGCUUUUUGUGACGGUACCUGCAGAAGAAGCACCGGCUAACUACGUG